CAGAGUUGCGAGACUCCCUAAACCAUUGUGAACCUACCUUCUACCGUUGCUUACGGCGGGCGGGCCGCAGCGCCCCCCCCCGGCCCCCCCGCGGGCCGCCCGCCGGAGGAUACCCAAACUCUUGACAUUAGUGGCCUCUCUGAGUAUUCUUUACUGAAUAAGUCA
This 165-nucleotide unclassified non-coding RNA is filed under the name soil metagenome. RNAcentral describes it as "partial internal transcribed spacer 1". The record is from RNAcentral.